AGUGGUACGCGAGCUGGGUUUAGAACGUCGUGAGACAGUUCGGUCCCUAUCUGCCGUGGGCGUUGGAUGAUUGAUUGGGGCUGCUCCUAGUACGAGAGGACCGGAGUGGACGCAUCACUGGUGUUCCAGUUGUCUCGCCAGAGGCAUUGCUGGGUAGCUAAGUGCGGAAGAGAUAAGUGCUGAAAGCAUCUAAGCACGAAACUUGCCAAGAGAUGAGUCAUCCCUGACUUUAAGUCAGUAAGGGUUGUUGUAGACUACGACGUAGAUAGGUCAGGUGU
RNAcentral lists this ribosomal RNA (278 nucleotides) under Haemophilus influenzae. RNAcentral's name for it is "partial 23S ribosomal RNA". It matches the Rfam family "Bacterial large subunit ribosomal RNA", at positions 2592 to 2868 of the family's 2925-position model. Lineage: Bacteria; Pseudomonadati; Pseudomonadota; Gammaproteobacteria; Pasteurellales; Pasteurellaceae. The record is from RNAcentral.